Molecule: ribosomal RNA, 326 nt
Filed under: Brachionus rotundiformis
Lineage: Eukaryota; Metazoa; Rotifera; Eurotatoria; Ploima; Brachionidae
Description: partial 16S ribosomal RNA
Rfam family: Bacterial large subunit ribosomal RNA
Source: RNAcentral
GGUAGCGUGAUUCUUGUUUUCUUAAUUAUGAAAUCUGUUCAAAGAAUGUAAUGGAGAGGAACUAUGGUUCUCUCAUAUAAAGUGAAUUUAAAUUGUUAGUGAAAAUUCUGACAAAUGUUUAAAAGACGAGAAGACCCCAUAAAACUUAAUUUGAAGUAUUCUUUAAUAUCUUAAAAUUUAGAUGGGGACUUUAGAGUAAAUAAAUAACUUAAAGACCUAUUGAUCUAUUAAUUGAGAAGCUACUUUGGGGAUAACAGGGUAAAAUAUUUGGAGAGUCCUUAUCGAUAAAUAUGCCUACUACCUCGAUGUUGGAUUAUCGGAUCCAA